CCCUACGGGGCGCAGCAGUGAGGAAUAUUGGUCAAUGGCCGGAAGGCUGAACCAGCCAAGUCGCGUGAGGGACGACUGCCCUAUGGGUUGUAAACCUCUUUUAUAAGGGAAGAAUAAAUGCUACGUGUAGCAUGAUGCCUGUACCUUACGAAUAAGCAUCGGCUAACUCCGUGCCAGCAGCCGCGGUAAUACGGAGGAUGCGAGCGUUAUCCGGAUUUAUUGGGUUUAAAGGGUGCGUAGGCGGUUUUUUAAGUUAGUGGGUAAACGACGGGGGUUCAACUUGGUUUGGCA
RNAcentral lists this ribosomal RNA (291 nucleotides) under uncultured bacterium. RNAcentral's name for it is "partial 16S ribosomal RNA". It matches the Rfam family "Bacterial small subunit ribosomal RNA", at positions 337 to 624 of the family's 1533-position model. The record is from RNAcentral.